Molecule: non-coding RNA, 349 nt
Organism: Paramuricea clavata
Lineage: Eukaryota; Metazoa; Cnidaria; Anthozoa; Malacalcyonacea; Plexauridae
Source: the annotation of a GenBank genome assembly
GGUUGAUGUGGUGGCAGAAGGUUUCAUCCAACUUUUGAACGAUGAAGAUAAAGUCGGAGAGGCGAUGAGAAUCUCUGUUCAAAAUAGAAUUGAUUAUCACACAUUUUCGGAACAAAAUAUCCCACUUUAACAAAUUUUUAAUUUUAAUUUCAAGCAAAUUAAUUUCAACUAUAUCGUUACUUUUAAUAAAGUUCACUCAAGCUCUUUCUAAAAUUAGUUCUUGCUAAAUUAUUUCUUACUGAAAUGGUCAUGCGGCGUUAAAAUGCCAUCUGAGGCCCGAGGGAAGCAGACAUCCAAAUAUGAAAAUAAAUAUAUUUUAUAGUUAUGUCAUUCUUCAUUAUCAUGCAUG